UCUCCAGGUGCCUCCUUGCCCAGCCCUUGGCAACACCACCACCAGGACCGUUGGGAUAAAUUUCCUGAAGUCGGUGGAACUCAAUCCUUUUACACCAGAAGAGAUUUUGUCUCAUCAUCUGUUGCUCCACGUUCUCCCCAGCAGAUGGGCUGCAGUGAUGAUGUCACCUCACCUCCUGGCACUUCAAAACACUCCUUUGGUUUGUGUGUGUGUGUGUGUUUUAACACUUUAUCCUUCUAGAAAAGCUCUAAACACUGAAAUCUUAUCUUGUGCCUGGUGUGCUGCUUAAAUCAGGAAUAUCAGCUGCUGAACAGAGCUCUUUAAUUAUGUUAUUUAACACUACCUAAAUAAUUGAAUCUGGGUAGGGCUUCAGAAACACUGGCUUUUAUUUCAUCUCUAGGGGCAGGAUUUGUACUUACCUUAUUUCAUUGCAGUGUCCAGGAGCAUCACCCUGCAGGCUCUUGUGUGCUUUGAUUCAAAACAUGAAAAAUAUAGGAAAUAUUUCUACCUCCUAAUAACAGGUCGCCUUCAAGGCAUAUUUGUAGCUUCUUAAAUGUCUGCUUCCAUAGAUUAAACAGGAGUGUUGACCCCAUAGCUGGUUUGUGUAAGCUUAGAUUUUGUUUUGGGAGGCAUCUACAUGCUGGUAAAAAAUCGUCAAUUAAUCUCACUUAGAAGGGGCACAAGGGAAUGUGGGUUUUUAUUGUAUUUUAUACCUGGCUUUGUUCUUAAAGGGCUGUGUGAUACUGGGCAAC
Long non-coding RNA from Lepidothrix coronata (blue-crowned manakin), 752 nucleotides. RefSeq lists it as uncharacterized. Lineage: Eukaryota; Metazoa; Chordata; Aves; Passeriformes; Pipridae. The transcript is spliced from 3 exons. The record is from RefSeq and is a predicted model, not a curated record.